GGAUAUUUGAGAUUAUAAGAUCAGUUGUCUAGCUUAUAGGUGAGCUCGUACUGUAACACUUGCAUGAAAUCCAGGAUUAGUAGUGUAGUAUUUGGUUACCUGUUUGAUACUAAUUCAGUGUAGAAUAUACUGUUUGGCUGUCUUUUUUGUGCCUGAAAAAAAUACUAUCAAAAUUCUUGGUCUAAAACAAACAAGGACAAUUCUC
Molecule: long non-coding RNA, 205 nt
Filed under: Nicotiana benthamiana
Lineage: Eukaryota; Viridiplantae; Streptophyta; Magnoliopsida; Solanales; Solanaceae
Description: long non-coding RNA (NBEN_LNC003129)
Source: RNAcentral